RNAcentral lists this ribosomal RNA (448 nucleotides) under uncultured bacterium. Its description in RNAcentral is "bacterial SSU rRNA". It matches the Rfam family "Bacterial small subunit ribosomal RNA", at positions 329 to 794 of the family's 1533-position model. The record is from RNAcentral.
GUCCAGACUCCUACGGGAGGCAGCAGUGGGGAAUAUUGCACAAUGGGGGAAACCCUGAUGCAGCGACGCCGCGUGAGCGAUGAAGUAUUUCGGUAUGUAAAGCUCUAUCAGCAGGGAAGAAAAUGACGGUACCUGACUAAGAAGCCCCGGCUAACUACGUGCCAGCAGCCGCGGUAAUACGUAGGGGGCAAGCGUUAUCCGGAUUUACUGGGUGUAAAGGGAGCGUAGACGGCUGUGCAAGCCAGAUGUGAAAGCCCGGGGCUCAACCCCGGGACUGCAUUUGGAACUGUGUAGCUGGAGUGUCGGAGAGGCAGGCGGAAUUCCUAGUGUAGCGGUGAAAUGCGUAGAUAUUAGGAGGAACACCAGUGGCGAAGGCGGCCUGCUGGACGAUGACUGACGUUGAGGCUCGAAAGCGUGGGGAGCAAACAGGAUUAGAUACCCGUGUACC